UGGUAGCCAUGGAAUGGACAUCAUGGGCCCUGUUACACAAUCUCUAUCACAUAACCACCCUAAUUGCAUCAUUCAGUCUACAUACAAAUAGGUUCCUGCUACAGGAACUCGAUCCUGGCCAAAAAAAUGGCAAAAGCGGCCCAGAUCAAGGUCACAGCUCGUUUGGGUGAGGAAAGCACGUAAGAUCGUGCAAUCCUACAAGCUGGGACUCGAUCCUGGCUACCUUGAUGAUAACAUUUGUUUAAGAGUUUGUGGAUUGGGAUGACCUAAUCUUAGGUGCCAAUUGAAUUGAGCAGUACAAGAUAAAUGUUUAGAUACAUCAGUAGAGGACUGUAUACCAGUGCUAGGACUAGAAUUAGAAUUAAAACAGGAGGCGGGACUGGCUUGAGCUGAUGGAAGGAACUUGAGAUUUGGAAACUCAUAGAGGCCAUCUCUGCAAACUUGACCAUGACACUCACGAGGUAUAACAGGUUGAAACUGUUGAUUGAACCUAUGGUAACAAUAGAAUGCAAUGUGCCCAAACUUAAAACAGACCUGACACUGAAUAUUGCCAAAACGUCCUCCUCCACUGCUACAACCUGAAUUAGGAUAGCCAGAACCUGAAGGAGUAGAUUCAGAAGAGGGAGGCACAGUUUGGGAUACAGACAUGUCACCCGUAGAAGGUGCAGAUGUGAGAUUAAUCGACACUGAAUCAGUGCUUGCAGCUUUCUUGAACUUUUGAAGACGCAUCUCAUGAGCCAGAAGCAACGCCUCAGCUGAACCAUACGAAAUUUACUUUCAAUAGCAUAAAUUACCGGAGAAAAUUCUUGAGAAAGUCCCAAAAUCACAUCAAUGUGUUGCUGUGAAGGAACAUGAUCUCCUACAAAAGCAAGUGCGUCAACUAGCGCCUUGAUGCGUGGCAGAUAUUCAGCAAUAAAACGACCUUCAAGAGAAGCUGAGUGAAGUUCUGUGCGUAACUGUCGCGCCUUCGCACAUGUGAGUUUCUGGAAGUGUGCAGGAAUACGAUCCCAAAGUUCAUAGGAGUGAAAGCAACCAAGCACACGAUUAAGAAUCAACGACGAAAGCGUUGAUUGAAGCCAUGCGAAAAGCCACUUACAUUUUUUGAUCAAAUUAGGAACUUCGUAAAGGGCAAAAUAAUUGCCCUGCUUUUGGACUAUGAUGGAACAUUUUCACCCAUUGUGGAUAACCCUGACUGUGCUUUCAUGUUGGACAAUGCAUAUGUGUGCUGCUGUUUAAGAGGUGGCAGAGUAUUUUUCAACAACAAUAACUUGUCGGAAAAAAUGUGACAAGUACAUGAAUUUGUAGGACUAACGGAACUCUAUUACGCUGGUAGCCAUGGCAUGGACAUCAUUGGCCCUGUUAGACAAUCUUUAUCUAUAUCACAUAACCACCCUAAUUGCAUCAUUAAGUCCGCAGACAAGCAGGGAAGGUUAAUUUAUUCCAACCUGCUGCUGAAUUCCUGCCAAUGAUUAAUGAGGUACUUAACUCUCUCUCAUUGAGUGUACACAAGACAUUGAAGGUGCAAAAGUUGAAACCAAUCAAUUGUGUAUCUGUACAUUGCCUCAAUGUAGAUGAGAAGUUGGGAUUUGGUGGGGUGUCGAGUUAACGAUGUUCUUCAGGGCUUUCCACGUUUGCGGUUAGCUCAUGGUUGCAAGGUUUUAGAGGUCCGACCUGUGAUUAACUGGGAUAAGGCAGAAGCAGUUACAUUUUUUUUACUCGAGUCACUUGGACUUAACGAUUGCAACGAUGUGCUUCCUAUAUUAUCAGCAAUGAUCGGAUGGAUUAAGAUGCAUUUAAGGCUUUGAGAGAGGGAAUUAAAGGCCUUCAGAACCAAAGGAAAGCAAUGCAAUUUACUCUUGUCGUGAUUCAUCAGAGGUCUUGUAUUAGAUGUUGUGUGGCGCAGAUUGUGAUUCUGGUGCGCGGUAGGUAUCAUGCAGCGGAUUUCUUAGCGUUGUUAGGCCGGCCUGUAAUCCGUCCAUCUAUUUUAAAUCUACUCAUUGGAACUUUGAUACCAAUAGCUAAAUUUCGAUGACUUUGCGAGGUAUUCAGCCAACAGAGGAUAUUUCAUUUUGACCAAGUUAGAUGAUGUAUUGUUGGGAGGCAUGGAUGCAGAGUUUGAUCAUAUGAUGAUUUGGUGGUGGACAUGAGAGAGACUCAAGUAUUACAAUGUGUGUCUAAUAGUAGUAUUGUCUACAAUGACAGGUUCAUAAUAAAUGUUUUUUUUUUUUAUGUUGCACUACCACUUAUAAGUGGCUCCAACCAAACUAUACAAAUUCAUGCACCUUCUAUAUAUGGCUCCAUCCAUCUACACACAUUAUCACAUUUGUGUUAUACUACUAUUAGAAAGAAAUUGCUUAAAAUAUACAUUUUUUAUUUGAUACAUUAAUUGUUUUA
Long non-coding RNA from Medicago truncatula (barrel medic), 2394 nucleotides. RefSeq lists it as uncharacterized. The record is from RefSeq and is a predicted model, not a curated record. The transcript is spliced from 10 exons. NCBI's taxonomy places the organism in Eukaryota, Viridiplantae, Streptophyta, Magnoliopsida, Fabales, Fabaceae.